RNAcentral lists this ribosomal RNA (485 nucleotides) under uncultured Methanosaeta sp. Its description in RNAcentral is "bacterial SSU rRNA". It matches the Rfam family "Archaeal small subunit ribosomal RNA", at positions 852 to 1338 of the family's 1478-position model. The record is from RNAcentral. Lineage: Archaea; Methanobacteriati; Methanobacteriota; Methanomicrobia; Methanotrichales; Methanotrichaceae.
AAACUCAAAUGAAUUGACGGGGAGCACCACAACGGGUGGAGCUUGCGGUUUAUUGGAUUCAACGCCGGAAAUCUUACCGGGACCGACAGCAAUAUGAAGGCCAGGCUGAAGACUUUGCCGGAUUAGCUGAGAGGUGGUGCAUGGCCGUCGUCAGUUCGUACUGUGAAGCAUCCUGUUAAGUCAGGCAACGAGCGAGACCCACGCCCACAGUUGCCAGCGUACUCUCUGGAGUGACGGGUACACUGUGGGGACCGCCGCUGCUAAAGCGGAGGAAGGAAUGGGCAACGGUAGGUCAGUAUGCCCCGAAUAUCCCGGGCUACACGCGAGCUACAAUGGUUGGUACAAUGGGUAUCUACCCCGAAAGGGGACGGGAAUCUCCUAAAACCAAUCUUAGUUCGGAUUGAGGGCUGCAACUCGCCCUCAUGAAGCUGGAAUCCGUAGUAAUCGCGUUUCAACAGAACGCGGUGAAUACGUCCCUGCUCCUU